RNAcentral lists this transfer RNA (73 nucleotides) under Felis catus (domestic cat). It matches the Rfam family "tRNA". From Rfam's summary of the family: Transfer RNA (tRNA) molecules are approximately 80 nucleotides in length. Their secondary structure includes four short double-helical elements and three loops (D, anti-codon, and T loops). The record is from Rfam by way of RNAcentral. Lineage: Eukaryota; Metazoa; Chordata; Mammalia; Carnivora; Felidae.
GUCUGGCUGGCUCAGUCAGUAGAGCGUGUGACUCCUGAUCUCAGAGGCAUGAGUUCGAGCCCCAUGGUGGGUA